This 253-nucleotide ribosomal RNA is filed under the name uncultured bacterium. Its description in RNAcentral is "partial 16S ribosomal RNA". It matches the Rfam family "Bacterial small subunit ribosomal RNA", at positions 524 to 776 of the family's 1533-position model. The record is from RNAcentral.
UACGGAGGGUGCAAGCGUUAUCCGGAUUUACUGGGUUUAAAGGGGGCGUAGGUGGGUAGGUAAGUCAGUGGUGAAAUCUUCGAGCUUAACUCGGAAACUGCCAUUGAUACUAUUUAUCUUGAAUACUCUGGAGGUAAGCGGAAUAUGUCAUGUAGCGGUGAAAUACUUAGAUAUGACAUAGAACACCAAUUGCGAAAGCAGCUUACUACAUAGGUAUUGACACUGAGGCACGAAAGCGUGGGGAUCAAACAGG